This 305-nucleotide ribosomal RNA is filed under the name uncultured bacterium. RNAcentral's name for it is "bacterial SSU rRNA". It matches the Rfam family "Bacterial small subunit ribosomal RNA", at positions 337 to 639 of the family's 1533-position model. The record is from RNAcentral.
GCCUACGGGGCGCAGCAGUGAGGAAUAUUGGUCAAUGGGCUAAGGCCUGAACCAGCCAAGUCGCGUGAGGGAAGACGGUCCUAUGGAUUGUAAACCUCUUUUGUCGGGGAGCAACGAGGCCACGUGUGGCCGAAGUGAGAGUACCCGAAGAAAAAGCAUCGGCUAACUCCGUGCCAGCAGCCGCGGUAAUACGGAGGAUGCGAGCGUUAUCCGGAUUUAUUGGGUUUAAAGGGAGCGUAGAUGGGUUGUUAAGUCAGUUGUGAAAGUUUGUGGCUCAACCAUAAAAUUGCCGUUGAAACUGGUUG